RNAcentral lists this long non-coding RNA (279 nucleotides) under Brassica napus (rape). Its description in RNAcentral is "long non-coding RNA (BNAP_LNC024470)". Lineage: Eukaryota; Viridiplantae; Streptophyta; Magnoliopsida; Brassicales; Brassicaceae. The record is from RNAcentral.
AACUAGAAAACCCUAGGGGUUUCCCUUUCCUCACAUUAUAAAAGCAAGCCCCCACCUCCUUUACCUCUCAUCAGAAGUUUAGAAGCGAAGCCCUGCAGAGAAUUCCCGGAGACUGAAAGCCCUAGCCGUCGACUUUCUCUCUCUCCCGCGCCGCCUCUCUCCUCCUUCUCUCUCUUCGCCGCGUCUCUCCUCUCUCUCUCUCUUCGCCGCGCCUCCCUCUCUCUCUCUCGGCCACGUCUCUCUCUCCUCGCCGUGUACAGCCGCGAGUGGUGGUGGUGG